GACGAACGCUGGCGGCGUGCUUAACACAUGCCAGUCGAACGGAAAGGCCCUGCUUUUGUGGGGUGCUCGAGUGGCGAACGGGUGAGUAACACGUGAGUAACCUGCCCUUGACUUUGGGAUAACUUCAGGAAACUGGGGCUACUACCGGAUAGGAGCUCCUGCUGCAUGGUGGGGGUUGGAACGUUUCGGCGGUUGGGGAUGGACUCGCGGCUUAUCAGCUUGUUGGUGGGGGAGUGGCUGACCAAGGCUUUGACGGGUAGCCGGCAUGAGAGGGUGACCGGCGACAUGGGGACUGAGGUACGGCCCAGACUGCUACGGGAGGCAGCAGUGGGGAAUAUUGCACAAUGGGCGGAAGCCUGAUGCAGCGACGCCGCGUGCGGGAUGACGGCCUUCGGGUUGUAAACCGCUGUCGCCUGUGACGAAGCGUGAGUGACGGUAAUGGGUAAAGAAGCACCGGCUAACUACGUG
This 468-nucleotide ribosomal RNA is filed under the name uncultured bacterium. RNAcentral describes it as "partial 16S ribosomal RNA". It matches the Rfam family "Bacterial small subunit ribosomal RNA", at positions 28 to 507 of the family's 1533-position model. The record is from RNAcentral.